UACAGAGGGUGCGAGCGUUAAUCGGAAUUACUGGGCGUAAAGCGCGCGUAGGCGGCUUUGCAAGUCGGGUGUGAAAUCCCCAGGCUUAACCUGGGAACUGCAUUCGAGACUGCAUUGCUAGAGUAUGGGAGAGGGAAGUGGAACUGCGAGUGUAGAGGUGAAAUUCGUAGAUAUUCGCAAGAACACCAGUGGCGAAGGCGGCUCACUGGCCCGAUACUGACGCUGAGGCACGAAAGCGUGGGGAGCAAACAGG
This 253-nucleotide ribosomal RNA is filed under the name uncultured bacterium. RNAcentral's name for it is "partial 16S ribosomal RNA". It matches the Rfam family "Bacterial small subunit ribosomal RNA", at positions 524 to 776 of the family's 1533-position model. The record is from RNAcentral.